This is a long non-coding RNA of Cryptomeria japonica (Japanese cedar), 2169 nucleotides long. RefSeq lists it as uncharacterized. Lineage: Eukaryota; Viridiplantae; Streptophyta; Pinopsida; Cupressales; Cupressaceae. The transcript has 4 exons. The record is from RefSeq and is a predicted model, not a curated record.
UUGUCUGCCUCACAAUUCAAAAUGACAUCUCUCUUCGACAGAGAUGGUGACUGCAAAACCCUACGAUCUCCAACACCACAAGAACAAGAAAUGAAUUCUUGGGCCCGUGUCUUUGUGACACAUUGGAUCCGAAAGCGCCGCGCAUAACAUUACCUUGGAUUCUACAGUUUUUUCACAGCAGUUUCUCAAAGCUAGCGUCGUUGGAAUCGGAAAGUUUCAGACAAUUUUAUUAUCUGAGAGUUCCCAAGAGAAAUUUAUGAUCCCGAUCAAUGAUUUGGAGCAGUAGAAACCGCCAUGGAUGACGUUAAUGCAGGGGACAUGAAUAUUAUUGGUCAAGGUCCUUCGAGUAUGGUCGUGCCAUAAUUUCUCCCAAUUUAGAAUUUCUGUUGGCUGAUAAGAUACGACAAGUUCAAUCCAAUAAUAAGUCAAGUUAUAGUAGAUCGGGCUCAAGGAAAAUUAGCGGAGUUAUGGAACAGGCUAAUCGGUUUACUUAAGAUUUCAUGGUCGACAAGUCACAGAAGAUGAAUCUUUGGUAUACUAGCGACUUGAGGAAUGAGCAACUUACAAGUCAAGGUACAAAUGAUGAUCACGAAUUUUUGAAUUCUAAUUCUUCUUCUCAGAUGUUGAUAUACUCAUCCCACCAGUCUGUAAUAAGGUCACUAUUUCUAGUUGUUGCUAUCCAAUGCAGACAAGAAACUAUACUAUAAUAUUGCAACAAAGGUUAAAAAAUGGUGGCAAAUGGACAAGUACCGUGUGCCAUGUCUGUUUCACCAAAAAACCAUGAUCCUAUUUUUUAACCUAAUGACAAUCUAUCUCUUGAAGGAUGUCGUAAUUCUGAGAUUUCUAGUCGGGUAAUAUACCUGGGAAGUGUCGAAAUCAACAGUUUUAAGAUGAAUGGCAAGGCAGAGACACUGUCAAAGUUUUGCAGCCACUUCUCUCUUCUUCAUCUGGUUGUGUGAGGAAUAAUCUAGAGAAUUUAUAUCAUUGACAAGAUGGGGAUUUUGACAACCCAAGAGGAAACAUAUUGAAGGUUAAGAAGAAACACACUAAAGAAUGUUUGACAUCCAUUGAGUCAAGUACUGCAAUUGAUAUAGGUAGCUCAAAUGCUAAGGGGACUGAGCUGAGAGCAUGUGUCUGAUGAAUUAAAAGCUUACUGUAAAAGAUCACAAAACCUUUUGUGAUGAACCGCCCAAGUGUUUCAAAAGUGAAAGCACAGAUCCGUUUAGUGUUGAAUUGAAAGAUCAAAACAGAGGCACUGCACUACACACGGAGACCUGUCCGGAUCUGAAUCUCAGUGUUGCUCUAAAGUCAACUGGCCUCACAAGAUCUGUCAGGAAUUACAGCGACCUGACAGUUGCUCUAAGUGCUUCAUUAGCUAAUGGGAAUAUUUCCUUAAAAUGGUCUAUACUUGCCCCUAUCUCAUUAAGACACAAGACCUUUAAGCACAAUGCCUGAAGCCAAGAUUCCAAGGAAAGGACACAAAUACAAAUUAUAGAGUUUAGAAAGGGCUGAAAAUGAUAAAAGAUUUUGUGAAUAAAAUGUUCCUUCUAUCUCAAUUAAUAGCAAACUUCAGUUGCGAGCAAUUGGAGCAGCAGAAUUUCCCAGGGCGAAUAACCUCUUGUAUGUCUAAGGAGCCAAUGAUAAUGCAACAGGGUAGACAAGCAAUUAAUCAUAAAUCAUAUGAUGGCAAGUACAUUUCAGAAACAGAUUUCUCUAUACUACAAGGUGAUAGCGAGGGGAAUUAUGGUAAGCAAAAAGCAGGAUUCAGAUGUUAGAGCUACAUGACGGAAAUCCUUCAAUAAACAUUUCUGAGAAUGGCGGCUUAUCUCAUGAAAGUAACUUAGAAGAAAGUAAUAUCAUGGAGAUAUCCUUGGAGUGCAUGUAAAAUAGUCCAAAAUUUACAAUCAAGAUUACAGGCAGUGGAGAAUAUGAAAGUUAGAGCAUAUUAUUUUGGACUGUAAAGAAAGAUGCGGUUGAUAAUGAAAGAAAGGAAUUCAUUCAGUCACUUAAAGUAGACAUCGAGAAGCAGGUAAGGUGGCAUAGCAUGCAAUUUUGUUUCUAGGAAGGGUAUAUCUUCUCAAUACUUCAAAUUUUUGUGUCAUGCAUUCAUUAUAUGAUAUUAUUUUUAUAGCAUUUAAAAAAAAUAUUUUUUCAAACUUGAAAGAUUAU